GCUUCUGCAAAUCGUUCUUCUUGCCCUCAGAUUACCAGACACGACGCAGCUGGACUUGUCUCAUGCCUGCGAUAGGGACGGCCCCCACCCUGACUUGCAUGGAACAGUCGACAUAAUGUGGCCUACUGCUUCCACCUGAGCGCCCCGCCAGGCUGUAAUUCCGCGGGCCCACGUGACCUCCGGGGCCGCGCCUUCCGGACGCAACUCCACUGGGGCGGAAGUUGGUUUUGUGCGGCUCUCAAGAACUAAGUUUGUGCUGUGCUGCGGGAUCCCCAGGGAGCUUCCUUAUAUCUUCGGCAGGACCCCUUCUUUUUUUCUUGAAGAUUGAUUUUGCUAGAAGUUAUCCUGUGAUGGGACUCCCUAGGGGAAUGGAGGCACCACGUGGUUAAGGAGUUUGUGCGUUGCCGCCCACAUAGUGUGGGCAGCUGAGGCGCCGCCCGGAUCAGAGCCGCAGGGCGUCUACUCUGUCACUUUCCCAACCUGACUUUUCCGGAUUGCUAUUUCAGACGGCGGUUGCAGCAGCCGACCUGUCUCAACUCCACCACUGUAGUCAGAGAAUCAAAAGCGGUCUGAGUUGCGAGGUCAUUGGGGAGGCCCCCACCCCCACAUUACCAGUGAGGAAACUGAGACUUAAAAAAGUGACCUGACCUGGACACGGGAUUGCCUGACAUCAGAGCUGGAUUCUUAAGUUCCUGUUAGUGUUAAGGCGCUGCUCAGACUUUUAGUAAAGGUGAGCGCCAUCUACUGCCAAGUCUCACAAAAUAUUCGCAAAAUUUGAUACGGUUAU
RNAcentral lists this long non-coding RNA (787 nucleotides) under Homo sapiens (human). RNAcentral describes it as "HSALNT0111305". Lineage: Eukaryota; Metazoa; Chordata; Mammalia; Primates; Hominidae. The record is from RNAcentral.